GAUGAACGCUGGCGGCGUGCCUAAUACAUGCGAGUCGAGCGAACAGACGAGGAGCUUGCUCCUCUGACGUUAGCGGCGGACGGGUGAGUAACACGUGGAUAACCUACCUAUAAGACUGGGAUAACUUCGGGAAACCGGAGCUAAUACCGGAUAAUAUAUUGAACCGCAUGGUUCAAUAGUGAAAGACGGUUUUGCUGUCACUUAUAGAUGGAUCCGCGCCGCAUUAGCUAGUUGGUAAGGUAACGGCUUACCAAGGCAACGAUGCAUAGCCGACCUGAGAGGGUGAUCGGCCACACUGGAACUGAGACACGGUCCAGACUCCUACGGGAGGCAGCAGUAGGGAAUCUUCCGCAAUGGGCGAAAGCCUGACGGAGCAACGCCGCGUGAGUGAUGAAGGUCUUCGGAUCGUAAAACUCUGUUAUUAGGGAAGAACAAAUGUGUAAGUAACUAUGCACGUCUUGACGGUACCUAAUCAGAAAGCCACGGCUAACUACGUG
RNAcentral lists this ribosomal RNA (497 nucleotides) under uncultured bacterium. RNAcentral describes it as "partial 16S ribosomal RNA". It matches the Rfam family "Bacterial small subunit ribosomal RNA", at positions 28 to 507 of the family's 1533-position model. The record is from RNAcentral.